Molecule: RNA transcript, 1580 nt
Organism: Wyeomyia smithii (pitcher-plant mosquito)
Lineage: Eukaryota; Metazoa; Arthropoda; Insecta; Diptera; Culicidae
Exons: 7
Source: RefSeq, a predicted model, not a curated record
GCAGGACGUUAUGUCCGGCAACUCAAAUGCGCAACUCUCACUUCCGAUUCGACCGUGAAAGUAUCGGGAACAGAAUUUAUUCUUAGUAUCGAAAAAUGGUCCGAGUUACAGCUUACGUUCACACACCGGUGUACAACUACAGCCACAAAUAUCGGAACUUAGACAAAAUGAGCAACGACGUGAAACAGUUUCUGGACGAAUACGAUCAGAUAAUUCUGCACAAGGAUAUCUACCGUGGAGUUUUCCACAGUUAUUUGCGGGAUAUACGUGCUCAAAUAAAAGUGCUACUACAAAAAUUUGAUGCCCAGCCGUACGAUGACGGUCGAGCAAAGUCGGAGAAGGAAUUAUUCUGCUGUGGGUUGGAGUUCCAUGAUGCUAGCGAAUUAAGGAAGCACUACCGCGCUGUACACAAUGGUCGCUUCGUUCGAUACACUAAUAUACUUGAGCUGAAAGCCGCACUAGCUAAAUUGGAUCAUAUGCGUCAUCGACUGAAAGAGUACAUAACUUUUGGACAGGAAUACACACUCAGUCUAUUAAUUGAUUUGAAAAGAAUGUUAAAAAAAAUAUCCAAUUCUCUCAAAUUUUAAUAAAAAGCUAGCUGAAAAUUCGAAAACAUUUUUUGUAUUCAGAUUACCAAUUUAAAUUACCCUGAGCCAGUAGCCACACGAACUGUCAAUCAACAGUAAAGUGCAUCACCUUGCAUUUUUCGCACUUUGCGGCGAACCGGAAUUAAACGACGAACGCGGAUCGUUCGAUCUUCCUACUCGCACAGCUUCCUUCGAAGGGUGAGAGUUUGGUGCUCGCACAGUUCGAGUCUAGCUUCGUUCGUUCUCGACGUGUGGUAGCCACACUGGUCAUUGCUCACAGAAAAUCCACAAUUUUCUGUAAGACCAUUUAUUUCUAUUUGCCAGAGAAGAUUUUAAUUCCAAAAUAGGUGGUAUACUAAAUUUGUGAAAAUGCAAAGAAUCGCUCAAAACAAAGAUAUUGAAAAGUUUAUCGCAGAAACUAAGUAUUUCUUGGAUGAGUUCGACUCGAUCAUCAGCCACUGGGAUUUGUCAGGAAAUUUCUUUCUGCACUACUUGAUCGAGAUCCAUGAGAGUGUGACGCAGCUCCUGGGAAAAUUCACCACCCUUUCGCUAGACGGUGUAGGAGGGCGUCAACAUGAAAACUUCUUUAAUCUGCAAUGCUGCGGGCAAGAAUUUCACAGUGUCAAGGAUCUGAGGCUGCACCAUCAUUCGUGUCGUCACAAGAAAUCGGGUUUCGAGGAAACAGACAACUGUGAGCUUAAAUCGGCUUUAGUCAAACUUGCUUUCUUCAACCGAAGGGUGAACGAAUAUCUACAGUACGGAACAUUUGCCGAUCGUUAUUUGUGUUUGUAUCUGAAAAAGAUUCUGAAAAAGAUAACGAUCACAUUGGACACGUUCACACUGUAAGAUCAACCUCAUCCACGAUUGGACAAUUAUAAUUAACUGUAAAGUGUAAGAUAAAAUAUGCAUGCACGUGGCCAAAAAGCAAAUGGAUAGAAUUGUAUGUCGAACUCGUAUUAAGUAAAUAAAAGCUAUUUCUAAUAAUAUCUCAAA